AUCACAGGUCCUUUCAGGGGCUCCCUUUCUUUGCUUAUCCCUUAAAAUGUAUCACUAUUUAGUGUUUCAUUCAUGGCUUCAUCUCACUUUCCAUGGCUUCAUCCCCCCCCCUUCAUCAUAUGUAAAUGAAAUCCAUGUCCACGUUUCUAGUCCAGACUUCUCCUGAAUUUUGAGUAAUAUACCCAAUUGGCUGCCAAUGCUCAUUCCACAUAGAUGCUACACAGAUACUUCAACCUCAACAAAUAAAAAGAUGAAUUUGCCAAACUCUCUCCCAAUUUGUUCUUCCUUAUCUUGGUCAAUGUUACCACCAUCUAUUCCCACCACAACCUUGACUCAGAUAACACCUUAGAUUUCUCCCUCUUUCUCCAACUCAAUAGUAUAUGGAUUCUAUGUUCUACAUGUAAAUAAAUAAAUGUUCUAUCUCUUCCCCACCACAUUUGAUAUUUUAUUUUUGGCCUAUCUCUGGUAAAGCCCUAUUCAUUUACCCUCCAUAGAGAUGUUAGAAUGACCCUUCAAAAUACAACCUUAUUUUUCCACUCCACUUUAAUGAUGGAUAAGGCAUAUAUAUAUUUACUAAGCAUACAAGAACUUUCAUCUUCUAGCCCUUCCUACUUUUUCAGUCUCAUUCCCAUCACCUAUGAUAACCACUUAUUACACAGUUCUCUAGAUGCUGGAUGCCUUUAGGUCUUUACCAAUCCUAUUUAUGCUUCCUGGAACCCCGACUUCAGAGACAAGCAGUCUCACAAAGAUCCAAAAACCCAACAGUUUUUUAAUAAUUUUUCAAGCAGUCAAUAAAUAGAUUUGUAAUUAUGUAUGCAGUUAUCUUGCCUAAUAAUUUUAAGUCCUAAAAGCUGCAAUAUAAAGCUUACUCAAACCUUUCUUCCACUACAAACUAAUAGAUUAAAAAUCAUUUUAUACAGCUUAUUAGAAAAUUCUGACUUUUUGUUAAAAUCUUCCUAGUAACCUAUAUUCAACUUUUAGUAUUCCUGCCAUCUUUAGAGGACAAAGUCCCUGCUCAGGCUGUGCUCUGCUGGUCAAAGGGAGACAUCAGCUUAUUUCUGAGUUGAAUUAUGUCUUCCGGCCACAUGGGGUUUUUGUUCUCUUCUUGGCCUUCUCCUUAGGUAAUUCUCUAGCUUAUCUCACUCUAUUCCCAAGUAAUCAAUAUUUAUGAGACACUGGAGGCAGAGAACUACAGUCAUAAAAUAUCAUAACACUAUGUCGACUUCACUAAUUUCUCAGAGAAGAAAAUGACUCCCUUCCUGCUUUUCAUCCCAUUAGCUGGACUGAACGCCAAUCCUUUUAAAGCACAGUGCUUGUUUAGUUAAUAAAUGGACCCAAUUAACUGAUUUCUAACAACAUUUAGCAGUUGGUUUAUUUUAGAAACUGUUUCAGAUACAAAGAUUAAAGCAUUUACAACACUUUCAAAAUUUUCUAAUUUUGCUAAGGGUAACAUGCUCAGUCAAAAAAGAUGAAACAUACACUUGAAGAAUGACUAGUAAUAAUUUUUGUUCAUUAAGUAAAUCAAUCACUCAUUAAUGCAUGCUGCAAAUAUUUGUAAAAUUUUCAUCAUAUAUCAGUCAUCAUGUAAGGAUCUGAGGAGCUUGCUCCCAAAAAGUUUUGUUCUAAUACAGUCAGUAAGCAAAAAUUAGCAUAGCAUAUGAGAUGUUUUACUUUUGAUCAGCUCAUUCUAAUUCCUACAUUUUGUUGGAGAAAUAAAACCAAUAAUGAACAACUCUACAUAUUUAAAUGGCAGGUAAGUGAGUUGUGAAAUCAUAUGCUAAGUAAUGAAUACAUAAAUACAUACACAUACAUACGUGCAGAGGCUAUAGUUAUCUCACAUAAAGGAUUUUAUUAAUAUCAAAAAACAACAAAUUCAUUUAAGAAAAAUUUUAAAGCAUUAGCACAAUAUGUUACAUAUGUAAAUGGCAUUGACAUUUACAUGGUCAAGUUAUUGCAAUAACAUUACAUUUGCAUGUAUCUUCCAUUUUUCAUAAAUUUUAAUAGUUGUAGAGGUGAUCAUCUGACAGUUUAAAUUAAUUAGUAAAUAACAAAGUGUCAUUAUUUUCUAUCCUUUUUUUGAAAAUUGAUUAGCCAGAGUGUAACUUCAUUUUAGUAAAUUUGAUUCUGCAUUUUAUUAAGACUACAUGUAGGGGUGCCUGGGUGGCUCAGUAGGUAAAGUGUCUGUCUUCAGCUCAGGACAUAAUCCUGGGGUCCUGGGAUCCCAAUUCUCCUUCUUCCAUGCCCCUCCCCCUCUUCAUUCUCUUUAUUUAUAAAUAAAUAAAUAAAUAAAUAAAUAAAUAAAUAAAUAAAUAAAUAAAAAAUAAGAUUACAUAUAAUACUAGAAUAUCAGAAACCAUGUUAACUUGCUAUGCAUAACUUAUCCCAUUUCAUGAGGACACAUAACAAAUUAUGUGCAUAUGCAUAUAAAUACACAACCAAGGAAAACUGUGACAAUUAGUAUGCAUAUAUUAAUCAAACCAUAUCAGAUUAACUCCUAAAAUAUUAUAUUAAGCAAGUGGUUCUCAAGUUUUUCUGUUCUGUUCUUAAAAACAAUCUUGACUAUAUAAGUUGUAUUUUUUAUGGGUGGAUAUAUAUUUAUAUAUGUAUGUAUCAUCUAUAUCUAUACUUACAUGGAACUAUCUAUAUCUAUGAAGAUAGAUACAUAUUUUUUUAGGGCGCAUAUGGGACCCAGAGGGAGAGGAAGAGAGAGACAAACCCUAGCGGACUCCAUGACCAGCGUGGCUCCUGAUGCCAGGCUUAAUCUCACAACCAUGAGAUCAUGACCUGAGCUGAAAUCAAGACUCAAACAUUUAACCAGCCAUUCAGGUGCCCCUAGAUACACAUAUUUUUAAGAAAAUUAGAUAUAUUUUUUAAGAAAAUGAAAUAGAAUUGUUUUAAAAUGAUGUAGUAUUCCGCAGAAUAUGUGGUACUUUUCCAAUCUAUGUAUUGCAGAAUAGUUCAUAGAACAAAGUAUUAAUUCAGGUUUAUUUUGUUUGUUUUCAUGUAGAAGAAGGACAAUUCUUUUAUAAAGUACAGAGGACUCUAAGUCAUGCUAGCUGGAGACGAACUAAACUUCAAAAUAAGACUCUGAUCAAGGAGGAGAAGGGGCAGGUGAUGAAGAAGAAGAAAACUUACACCCAGGACUAAACUUCAUCAGAGACCUGGCCCAGGUUAAGAAUACAUUUUACUUCUAGUUUGUUCUAGGUUUGAGUCUAACAGUGGCACUCUUCCUGUUGCUACUAGAAGAAUUUUUAUAAGCAAAAGGCAAAUUACCAGAGAAACCAACAUUCUUAAUUUCGGAGGUAGGAAAUCUGCCACCUCGUUAAAGGGAGUGCUGCGUUACUAGCCCCCUGGCGUCCUGACAGCCAUAGAGCACACAGCAGGCUUGUCCUCCUGACCAGAAAAAAAGAUGCUGAGAAGCUGACUUAAGAAUACUUCUUUGGGGACUCAAUAGCUAAUGCACACAGUAAAAGACAAUAGGAAUUAUUGCCCAAUGCAAAAAAGAAAUAUAUACUUUAUUAUAUAAUAGUCCUACUUACAAACAGACAAUUUCAAGUGGGAAAAUUGAAGAAAAGGAGUGACAUAGUUUUCUGGAAGACACCAUGUUGUAUCAGUAUCUGAAAGGAAUGGUACUCAAGGUUCAAAUUUCUUAAGUGGCAAUUAUUUCACUAAAGUUUCAGGUGUAUGAUUUUUUCUUCCUGGAAUUCAAGGUCCAUAUUUGAAGGUCAAGGCAGAGAACGCGGAGUAUAUUCUAAACAUCUUUUCUGCAAGUCAGCAUUUAUAGAAUUUCAAUGAUCAUUUUUCACAGUGGAGAAUUCAUCUCUACUCUUAACCCAAUGGCCAAUAUCCAAAAUGAACAGAGAAAAUAAUGCCUUCUUUGAAGCUUUGCUUCAUUAUUCUAGGGAGGCCAGGUGCUCCUUCUGAAACAGUACUGAUUUUCACUUUGCAGUAAUUAUAAAUACAACUUUCCUUUUUUUUCAGAUUUAUUUAUUUGAGAGAGAGAGACUGAGAGUCUGUUGGCGGGGGGGGGGGGCAAUGAGAGAGGGAGAAGGAGAGAAGGGGACUCCUCACUGAACAGGGCACAGCCCUGGCUAGAUCUCAGGACCCUAGGAUCAUGACCUGAGUGGAAACCAGGAGGCAGAUGCUCAACUGACUGAGCCACAGGUGCCACAACCGUUUUUUGGUUUUUGUUUUUUAAUAUUUAUUUUACUUUGGAAUGGCUUAAAUUCUCAAACUUAAAGACAACAUUUAAAUUUUUCAUAGGCAAUCUUAAUGUAAGGAAAGAUAACAGGCCUUUCAUGGAUUUCUGUUGUGUGUUUACUGACUCUUGGGCUACCAAGGAUUUGGAUUUCUCAUUAUAUGAAAAAUUCUUCAUACUACAUACUUGAAAAAUAAGCUUUAUAUUUAGCAGACUUGCUUCCUCAGUAUAUCUGUCUUUUGUGAUAUAAAUACUAGUCUUUGACAUAUUGUGUUUUGAUAGAAUUUGCAAUCCAACACUGUUUAAUUAUUCAUGAUGAGUGAUCCAUCAAACAAAAGAUUCCCAAGAGGACAGAUAAAAACAACUUGUUAUCUUAUUUGGGCCAACAACUCAGAGUUGAACAGAAAUGCCUUAACACUGAAUAAACAAUGGAUUUUUUUUUUUAAGUUGAUGAUUGAAAAUGCUAAGAACAAUACUGCAGGCACAAUAAUUAAAUUCAUCAUAACUUGUCUUCUUGUGACAUUCUUUAUGUGUUCAACAUUCCAGGUAAGGACUCUUCUUUCCUUAGUAAUAAUAAAAGAGCAAAAUAUUAGUUCUUAGAUAAAAAUGUUGAGUAGAGGUUAAUUUUAAUAUGUCCAAGGUGGUUGGCAAUAUUAAUAAAUUCCUUCUACCCAAGGCAUGGGUAGGCUAGAUAUAUCUACAAUGCUGGAUACUGGAAGUUCCUCAAGGUUAACUCAAAUACAAUUUGCUAAAUGAAGCUAUUCUCCAUUUUAAGUAUUUAAUAUAAUUCCUAGCUACAAAUUUUACUCUUAAACAUCCUUUCUGGGCAAAGGACAUCAUUUCCUGUAUAGCUCACAUAUAAACGUUCUAUAUAGGGCAAGAUUUAGUAGAUAAAAGAAUGAAAUUAUUCAAAAAGACAUUAUAAAUAAGGAAAAAUAAUAGAAAGGAUAGAGAUUUUUCUUUUUAAGAAAAAGAAAGAAAAACAUAUUUUGAAGUUUGUAGUCACAUUUUUUAAGAGAUCUUACCACUGAGCACAGUAAGAAGCUAAGCUUUUUCAAAUUUAUCUUCUACACCAGUGUAACCAGCAUCCUGUCUCUGUGCUUAGGGAGUAAGAAUGCUAUGUUCUUUCUUUUGGAUGUAAUUAUCUUUUCUUAAAAGAAGGAUUGCAUGUUCCCCA
RNAcentral lists this long non-coding RNA (5375 nucleotides) under Canis lupus familiaris (dog). RNAcentral describes it as "lncRNA (ENSCAFG00000051876.1)". Lineage: Eukaryota; Metazoa; Chordata; Mammalia; Carnivora; Canidae. The record is from RNAcentral.